GUGAACGCUGGCGGUAGGCCUAACCCAUGCAAGUCGAACGGCAGCACAGUAAGAGCUUGCUCUUACGGGUGGCGAGUGGCGGACGGGUGAGGAAUACAUCGGAAUCUACUUUUUCGUGGGGGAUAACGUAGGGAAACUUACGCUAAUACCGCAUACGACCUACGGGUGAAAGCAGGGGAUCUUCGGACCUUGCGCGAUUGAAUGAGCCGAUGUCGGAUUAGCUAGUUGGCGGGGUAAAGGCCCACCAAGGCGACGAUCCGUAGCUGGUCUGAGAGGAUGAUCAGCCACACUGGAACUGAGACACGGUCCAGACUCCUACGGGAGGCAGCAGUGGGGAAUAUUGGACAAUGGACGCAAGCCUGAUCCAGCCAUACCGCGUGGGUGAAGAAGGCCUUCGGGUUGUAAAGCCCUUUUGUUGGGAAAGAAAAGCAGCAGGUUAAUACCCCGCUGUUCUGACGGUACCCAAAGAAUAAGCACCGGCUAACUUCGUG
RNAcentral lists this ribosomal RNA (491 nucleotides) under uncultured bacterium. RNAcentral's name for it is "partial 16S ribosomal RNA". It matches the Rfam family "Bacterial small subunit ribosomal RNA", at positions 29 to 507 of the family's 1533-position model. The record is from RNAcentral.